AUGACUGAUGAGAGUCCCUGCGAGUUACCCCUCCAGAGGCUCCGCGGCAGAUUCGCCGUACCUGUCCCGCAUGUGAUGAAUCCUGCUGUGCCACGGCUGCCCUUUGCGUGGGACGUCCCCUCUCCACCGCCACCAUGGCCCCCCUCAGCGCGAGGACCUCUCUAUGCAGCUUGCGCCCUGCGACUUCAACAGAAGGCACCAGGGAAAAGUCCUGUAAGCCAGGAUUGCCAGCCGCCUCUCCAUCCGGGUGCCUCUCCCUCGUCCAGCCAGAGCCAAGAAGGCCGGCGCGUGGGUGGGAAGACGUCCCUCAUCCGAGGGUACAGGGGCAAAGCCAGGGCUCGGAACUCAGGGGGGCUCGCGCUCAGAGAACGGCCCUGUCACCAAUUUGUGUGAUGCUUGGAACAAUCUACUUCCCUUUUCUGGGCUCCUCGCUUCCUCUUGGGUAGAAUGAAGUCAUUCCAUUGGGCAGAGGCGGGGAGGCAGGGAGUGACCUAGUGGGUGCUCGGAGCCCUAAUUGCAGAGAACAAUGGGACGUUGCCUUAUCUCUUUGAACAACCCUAUCACCUUCAUUUCUCAGGAAACCGAGGCACGGUGAGACUUCGUGACACACUCAUGCCCACAGUCAGUUUCCCAUUUGGGACUGGGAUGCAGAGCUCUGUGCUAUCAAAGGCUGCGCUCUGAGUUCCUCCCUGGCCCCCUUAUCUGUGGUAUGGUCUUUGGACCCAGGAGGAAAACAAUGUAAGAUUAAAAGGUGGAGAAAUGCUGGAAGUCAAAACAUUCCAUGUAACAUCUUCUCUUCGAGUACUCGUAUUUUCCUUGGUUAAACAUUUUGAGACUGUAGGGACCUGGUAACGAAUAAUGGGCAGGAUGUAAACCAGAGCCUUCAAAGACAGGGGUCAGCUCACAAUGACACCCCCACGAUCUCACAGCACAGGGUAGGGAGACCUGUUUGUCCCUUUCUGGUGGACCAUUCGGUAGCAAUUUUGAAAGAGUAGAACUUCAUCACUGCCCUGUCUGGAAAAGUGGUCAAAGGUCUGCGUAGACCCCUAGGCAGUGGUGCCGGGGCCUGGCCGUGGCCCCCAUGCUCUAAGCACCCCAUUCUGCUUAGCACAGUCCCCCAGUGGUGAAAGCAGAGGCUCUGGCCAGCGUGGACUCGCAGACCGUCGCUGUGGAUCGUAGCCUUCCCGGGACCCCCACAUGCGUGUGAACUCCUCACUGCUGUCUCUCCCUGGCUGCAUAGCCCUGAGCCUCUGGAAUGCGGUGGCUGCUGCAGGGCACUCGCUGUGGCCCGAGGGAGAUCCCCUCACCCAGCGCCGGGGUCCCCCACGCCAAACUGCUCACACGAGUUAGCAAUAGGGGUGCACACAAAUGGGCUGGGGGCUGGCGGCACAUACUCCACAGUUCCCAAACAAACUUUAUAGAUAGCCUUACAUGUAUCCGUGUUUUCAAACAGUUUUUGUCUUAAUUAUACCUGGGACGGGUGGUAGAAACCGUAAGCCUUUAUAAUAGCCAUGUCUGUGUACAGUGCUUCCUCUGUCUCAGGUUCUGCUCUGCGGUCUUUUAAAAACUGAACGUAUUUAAUGUGUACACUGAUGCUUUAAAGUACAUGAUCCAUUUUAAUCAUUGUUUCCUAGAAGAAGAGCUGAGGCAGAGAGAGGUCAAGGAACUCUGCUGAGGUUAAACAAAUAAAUGGUGAUCUUGGGAUUUAGACCUAAAUAUACUGUGGUUGUAUCUGUUGCUUUCACGGUGUAACAAGCCAUCAAACUUACUGACUGAAAACAACAGAUAUUUAUUUAAUGAAAUAAUUGAGAUUGAACC
Molecule: long non-coding RNA, 1818 nt
Organism: Fukomys damarensis (Damara mole-rat)
Lineage: Eukaryota; Metazoa; Chordata; Mammalia; Rodentia; Bathyergidae
Source: Ensembl